UAGUCCACGCCGUAAACGAUGUCUACUAGCCGUUGGGAAACUUGAUUUCUUAGUGGCGCAGCUAACGCACUAAGUAGACCGCCUGGGGAGUACGGCCGCAAGGUUAAAACUCAAAUGAAUUGACGGGGGCCCGCACAAGCGGUGGAGCAUGUGGUUUAAUUCGAUGCAACGCGAAGAACCUUACCAGGUCUUGACAUACAGCGAACUUUCCAGAGAUGGAUUGGUGCCUUCGGGAACGCUGAUACAGGUGCUGCAUGGCUGUCGUCAGCUCGUGUCGUGAGAUGUUGGGUUAAGUCCCGUAACGAGCGCAACCCUUGUCCUUAGUUGCCAGCGGAUAAUGCCGGGGACUCUAAGAAAACUGCCAGUGUAAACUGAGAGGAAGGUGGGGAUGACGUCAAAUCAUCGCGGCCCUUACGUCCUGGGCUACACACGUGCUACAAUGGUCUGUACAGAGAGUUGCUAACUGGUGACAGUGUGCUAAUCUCUAAAGCAGGCCUCAGUUCGG
This 505-nucleotide ribosomal RNA is filed under the name uncultured bacterium. RNAcentral's name for it is "bacterial SSU rRNA". It matches the Rfam family "Bacterial small subunit ribosomal RNA", at positions 791 to 1296 of the family's 1533-position model. The record is from RNAcentral.